UACGUAGGGUGCAAGCGUUGUCCGGAAUUAUUGGGCGUAAAGGGCUCGUAGGCGGUCCAUCGCGUCGGGAGUGAAAAGCUGGGGCUUAACCCCAGUCCUGCUUCCGAUACGGGCAGGCUCGAGUUCGGUAGGGGAGACUGGAAUUCCUGGUGUAGCGGUGAAAUGCGCAGAUAUCAGGAGGAACACCGGUGGCGAAGGCGGGUCUCUGGGCCGAUACUGACGCUGAGGAGCGAAAGCGUGGGGAGCGAACAGG
This 253-nucleotide ribosomal RNA is filed under the name uncultured bacterium. Its description in RNAcentral is "partial 16S ribosomal RNA". It matches the Rfam family "Bacterial small subunit ribosomal RNA", at positions 524 to 776 of the family's 1533-position model. The record is from RNAcentral.